Molecule: ribosomal RNA, 220 nt
Filed under: uncultured bacterium
Lineage: Bacteria
Description: partial 16S ribosomal RNA
Rfam family: Bacterial small subunit ribosomal RNA
Source: RNAcentral
UAAUGCUUGGGAAUCUAGCUUAUGGAGGGGGAUAACUAUGGGAAACUGUAGCUAAUACCGCGUAGAAUCGGGAGAUGAAAGUGUGGGACCUUCGGGCCACAUGCCAUAGGAUGAGCCCAAGUGGGAUUAGGUAGUUGGUGAGGUAAAGGCUCACCAAGCCGACGAUCUCUAGCUGGUCUGAGAGGAUGACCAGCCACACUGGGACUGAGACACGGCCCAG